UCGGGAAUUUUGGGCAAUGGGCGAAAGCCUGACCCAGCAACGCCGCGUGAAGGAUGAAGUCUUUCGGGAUGUAAACUUCGUAAGAAUAGGAAGAAUAAAUGACGGUACUAUUUGUAAGGUCCGGCUAACUACGUGCCAGCAGCCGCGGUAAUACGUAGGGACCAAGCGUUGUUCGGAUUUACUGGGCGUAAAGGGCGCGUAGGCGGCAAUUCAAGUCACUUGUGAAAUCUCUGAGCUUAACUCAGAACGGUCAAGUGAUACUGCUUUGCUAGAGUGCAGAAGGGGCAACCGGAAUUCUUGGUGUAGCGGUGAAAUGCGUAGAUAUCAAGAGGAACACCGGAGGUGAAGACGGGUUGCUGGGCUGACACUGACGCUGAGGCGCGAAAGCUAGGGUAGCAAACGG
Molecule: ribosomal RNA, 403 nt
Filed under: uncultured bacterium
Lineage: Bacteria
Description: bacterial SSU rRNA
Rfam family: Bacterial small subunit ribosomal RNA
Source: RNAcentral